Long non-coding RNA from Erigeron canadensis, 174 nucleotides. RefSeq lists it as uncharacterized. The transcript has 3 exons. The record is from RefSeq and is a predicted model, not a curated record. NCBI's taxonomy places the organism in Eukaryota, Viridiplantae, Streptophyta, Magnoliopsida, Asterales, Asteraceae.
AGAUUUGACAAUUUCGGGUGAAUCGGUGAUUGUUAUUGCAAUCAUUUAGUAUCUAGAGAUUUCCUACAGGUCACUCGGGAUAAUUGUGAAGCUUGUUAACUUGUGUUUGGUGUAUCGUUGUGCUCGUCAUCAGGUCCAACAAUAGUGAGCAGGUAGAUGUGAGAAGAUGUGAGG